Molecule: ribosomal RNA, 1385 nt
Filed under: uncultured bacterium
Lineage: Bacteria
Description: 16S ribosomal RNA
Rfam family: Bacterial small subunit ribosomal RNA
Source: RNAcentral
GAUGAACGCUGGCGGCGUGCCUAAUACAUGCAAGUCGAACGAAACUUCUUUAUCACCGAGUGCUUGCACUCACCGAUAAAGAGUUGAGUGGCGAACGGGUGAGUAACACGUGGGCAACCUGCCUAAAAGAGGGGGAUAACACUUGGAAACAGGUGCUAAUACCGCAUAACCAUAGUUACCGCAUGGUAACUAUGUAAAAGGUGGCUAUGCUACCGCUUUUGGAUGGGCCCGCGGCGCAUUAGCUAGUUGGUGGGGUAAAGGCUUACCAAGGCAAUGAUGCGUAGCCGAACUGAGAGGUUGAUCGGCCACAUUGGGACUGAGACACGGCCCAAACUCCUACGGGAGGCAGCAGUAGGGAAUCUUCCACAAUGGGCGAAAGCCUGAUGGAGCAACGCCGCGUGGGUGAAGAAGGUCUUCGGAUCGUAAAACCCUGUUGUUAGAGAAGAAAGUGCGUGAGAGUAACUGUUCACGUUUCGACGGUAUCUAACCAGAAAGCCACGGCUAACUACGUGCCAGCAGCCGCGGUAAUACGUAGGUGGCAAGCGUUAUCCGGAUUUAUUGGGCGUAAAGGGAACGCAGGCGGUCUUUUAAGUCUGAUGUGAAAGCCUUCGGCUUAACCGGAGUAGUGCAUUGGAAACUGGGAGACUUGAGUGCAGAAGAGGAGAGUGGAACUCCAUGUGUAGCGGUGAAAUGCGUAGAUAUAUGGAAGAACACCAGUGGCGAAAGCGGCUCUCUGGUCUGUAACUGACGCUGAGGUUCGAAAGCGUGGGUAGCAAACAGGAUUAGAUACCCUGGUAGUCCACGCCGUAAACGAUGAGUGCUAAGUGUUGGAGGGUUUCCGCCCUUCAGUGCUGCAGCUAACGCAAUAAGCAUUCCGCCUGGGGAGUACGACCGCAAGGUUGAAACUCAAAGGAAUUGACGGGGGCCCGCACAAGCGGUGGAGCAUGUGGUUUAAUUCGAAGCAACGCGAAGAACCUUACCAGGUCUUGACAUCUUCUGACAAUCCUAGAGAUAGGACUUUCCCUUCGGGGACAGAAUGACAGGUGGUGCAUGGUUGUCGUCAGCUCGUGUCGUGAGAUGUUGGGUUAAGUCCCGCAACGAGCGCAACCCUUAUUGUUAGUUGCCAGCAUUAAGUUGGGCACUCUAGCAAGACUGCCGGUGACAAACCGGAGGAAGGUGGGGAUGACGUCAAAUCAUCAUGCCCCUUAUGACCUGGGCUACACACGUGCUACAAUGGACGGUACAACGAGUCGCAAGACCGCGAGGUUUAGCAAAUCUCUUAAAGCCGUUCUCAGUUCGGAUUGUAGGCUGCAACUCGCCUACAUGAAGUCGGAAUCGCUAGUAAUCGCGGAUCAGCAUGCCGCGGUGAAUACGUUCCCGGGCCU